This 279-nucleotide ribosomal RNA is filed under the name uncultured Burkholderiales bacterium. RNAcentral's name for it is "partial 16S ribosomal RNA". It matches the Rfam family "Bacterial small subunit ribosomal RNA", at positions 505 to 783 of the family's 1533-position model. The record is from RNAcentral. Lineage: Bacteria; Pseudomonadati; Pseudomonadota; Betaproteobacteria; Burkholderiales.
GUGCCAGCAGCCGCGGUAAUACGUAGGGUGCGAGCGUUAAUCGGAAUUACUGGGCGUAAAGCGUGCGCAGGCGGCUUUGCAAGACAGAGGUGAAAUCCCCGGGCUCAACCUGGGAACUGCCUUUGUGACUGCAAGGCUAGAGUACGGCAGAGGGGGAUGGAAUUCCGCGUGUAGCAGUGAAAUGCGUAGAUAUGCGGAGGAGCACCGAUGGCGAAGGCAAUCCCCUGGGCCUGUACUGACGCUCAUGCACGAAAGCGUGGGGAGCAAACAGGAUUAGAU